GCCGGGCGCGGUGGCUCACGCCUGUAAUCCCAGCAUUUUGGGAGGCCGAGGUGGGCGGAUCACCUGAGGUCAGGAGUUCAAGACCAGCCUGGCCAACAUGGUGAAACCCCGUCUCUA
This 117-nucleotide non-coding RNA is filed under the name Homo sapiens (human). The record is from Rfam by way of RNAcentral. Lineage: Eukaryota; Metazoa; Chordata; Mammalia; Primates; Hominidae.